CAUGUAUUUCAUGUUGUAUUUCUUGUGCUGUGUGUGUGCAGCUUGAAUUAGUGUAUCCUUUAUGCAAACACUCCUCAUGCAUUUGGUGAACAGAUCCUUCAGGCUGCGGCUCGUGUCCAGAGCUGUAACUGUGUUUGGACCACAGCGAGGGAAGAGAGAGACAGUAAAUUAUGACGAAGGAGAGGGAAGCUGAUGGAAGGGAGCAGGAAACCAGACCAAACAUGGGCACAGGUGACGCACGGAGGAUACCCAGUUUCCAUAGCAACAGGCAGGUGCAAGACACUGGGAGCGAGCUUUCGAUCUGCUGAGGGAGAGUUACACAACAAACACACAACAUGUGAAGACGAACACGCCUGCGUGAACAUGGUAGUGCUGCCAGACGAGAUAUGAUUGACCAACCAGGACACGGACUCUGCUGACCCUUAAAACACACAUGGAUGCUGGGAAACGCCUGAC
Long non-coding RNA from Amphiprion ocellaris (clown anemonefish), 456 nucleotides. Lineage: Eukaryota; Metazoa; Chordata; Actinopteri; Pomacentridae. The record is from Ensembl.